UAGGGAAUCUUCCACAAUGGACGCAAGUCUGAUGGAGCAACGCCGCGUGAGUGAAGAAGGUUUUCGGACCGUAAAGCUCUGUUGUUGGUGAAGAAGGAUAGAGGUAGUAACUGGCCUUUAUUUGACGGUAAUCAACCAGAAAGUCACGGCUAACUACGUGCCAGCAGCCGCGGUAAUACGUAGGUGGCAAGCGUUGUCCGGAUUUAUUGGGCGUAAAGCGAGCGCAGGCGGAAGAAUAAGUCUGAUGUGAAAGCCCUCGGCUUAACCGAGGAACUGCAUCGGAAACUGUUUUUCUUGAGUGCAGAAGAGGAGAGUGGAAUUCCAUGUGUAGCGGUGGAAUGCGUAGAUAUAUGGAAGAACACCAGUGGCGAAGGCGACUCUCUGGUCUGCAACUGACGCUGAGGCUCGAAAGCAUGGGUAGCGAACAGG
This 429-nucleotide ribosomal RNA is filed under the name bacterium. Its description in RNAcentral is "partial 16S ribosomal RNA". It matches the Rfam family "Bacterial small subunit ribosomal RNA", at positions 355 to 776 of the family's 1533-position model. The record is from RNAcentral.